RNAcentral lists this ribosomal RNA (427 nucleotides) under uncultured bacterium. Its description in RNAcentral is "partial 16S ribosomal RNA". It matches the Rfam family "Bacterial small subunit ribosomal RNA", at positions 355 to 774 of the family's 1533-position model. The record is from RNAcentral.
UGGGGAAUAUUGCACAAUGGGCGCAAGCCUGAUCCAGCCAUGCCGCGUGUGUGAAGAAGGUCUUCGGAUUGUAAAGCACUUUAAGUUGGGAGGAAGGGCAUUAACCUAAUACGUUAGUGUUUUGACGUUACCGACAGAAUAAGCACCGGCUAACUCUGUGCCAGCAGCCGCGGUAAUACAGAGGGUGCAAGCGUUAAUCGGAAUUACUGGGCGUAAAGCGCGCGUAGGUGGUUUGUUAAGUUGGAUGUGAAAUCCCCGGGCUCAACCUGGGAACUGCAUUCAAAACUGACUGACUAGAGUAUGGUAGAGGGUGGUGGAAUUUCCUGUGUAGCGGUGAAAUGCGUAGAUAUAGGAAGGAACACCAGUGGCGAAGGCGACCACCUGGACUAAUACUGACACUGAGGUGCGAAAGCGUGGGGAGCAAACA